This 507-nucleotide ribosomal RNA is filed under the name uncultured bacterium. RNAcentral's name for it is "partial 16S ribosomal RNA". It matches the Rfam family "Bacterial small subunit ribosomal RNA", at positions 28 to 507 of the family's 1533-position model. The record is from RNAcentral.
GACGAACGCUGGCGGCGUGCUUAACACAUGCAAGUCGAACGGGCCUUGUCCCCUUUUUUUUGGGGGUGGGGUUAGUGGCGAACGGGUGAGUAACACGUGAGUAACCUGCCCCUCACUUCUGGAUAACCGCUUGAAAGGGUGGCUAAUACGGGGUGUUCUGGCCUGCUCGCAUGGGUGGGUUUGGAAAGAUUCGACCGGUUUUGGUUGUUUUGGUGGGGGAUGGGCUCGCGGCCUAUCAGCUUGUUGGUGGGGGGAUGGCCUGCCAAGGCUUUGACGGGUAGCCGGCCUGAGAGGGUGGGCGGGCACACUGGGACUGAGACACGGCCCAGACUCCUACGGGAGGCAGGAGUGGGGAAUAGUGCACAAGGGGCGCAAGCCUGAUGCAGCGACGGCGCGUGAGGGAUGGAGGCCUUCGGGUUGUGAACCUCUUUCGCCAGUGAAGAAGGUCCUGCUCUUUGUGGUGGGGUUGACGGUAGCGGGGUUAAUGAAGCGCCGGCUAACUACGUG